AUUGAACGCUGGCGGCAGGCCUAACACAUGCAAGUCGAGCGGAUGAAGGGAGCUUGCUCCUGGAUUCAGCGGCGGACGGGUGAGUAAUGCCUAGGAAUCUGCCUGGUAGUGGGGGAUAACGUCCGGAAACGGGCGCUAAUACCGCAUACGUCCUGAGGGAGAAAGUGGGGGAUCUUCGGACCUCACGCUAUCAGAUGAGCCUAGGUCGGAUUAGCUAGUUGGUGGGGUAAAGGCCUACCAAGGCGACGAUCCGUAACUGGUCUGAGAGGAUGAUCAGUCACACUGGAACUGAGACACGGUCCAGACUCCUACGAGAGGCAGCAGUGGAGAAUAUUGGACAAUGGGCGAAAGCCUGAUCCAGCCAUGCCGCGUGUGUGAAGAAGGUCUUCGGAUUGUAAAGCACUUUAAGUUGGGAGGAAGGGCAGUAAGUUAAUACCUUGCUGUUUUGACGUUACCAACAGAAUAAGCACCGGCUAACUUCGUG
RNAcentral lists this ribosomal RNA (484 nucleotides) under uncultured bacterium. RNAcentral's name for it is "partial 16S ribosomal RNA". It matches the Rfam family "Bacterial small subunit ribosomal RNA", at positions 30 to 507 of the family's 1533-position model. The record is from RNAcentral.